Molecule: ribosomal RNA, 458 nt
Filed under: uncultured bacterium
Lineage: Bacteria
Description: bacterial SSU rRNA
Rfam family: Bacterial small subunit ribosomal RNA
Source: RNAcentral
UACGGAAGGCAGCAGUGGGGAAUAUUGCACAAUGGGCGAAAGCCUGAUGCAGCUAUGCCGCGUGUAUGAAGAAGGCCUUAGGGUUGUAAAGUACUUUCAUCGGGGAGGAAAAAACAAAACUAAUAAUUUUAUUUCUUGACGUUACCCGAAAAAGAAGCACCGGCUAACUCCGUGCCAGCAGCCGCGGUAAUACGGAGGGUGCUAGCGUUAAUCAGAAUUACUGGGCGUAAAGAGCACGUAGGUGGUUUUUUUAAAGUUCAGAUGUGAAAUCCCUGGGCUUAACCUAGGAACUGCAUUUUGAAACUGAAAUACUAGAGUAUCGUAGAGGGAGGUAGAAUUCUAGGUGUAGCGGUGAAAUGCGUAGAUAUCUGGAGGAAUACCUGUGGCGAAAGCGGCCUCCUAAACGAAUACUGACACUGAGGUGCGAAAGCGUGGGGAGCAAACGAGGAUUAGAUACC